Molecule: ribosomal RNA, 797 nt
Filed under: uncultured crenarchaeote
Lineage: Archaea; Thermoproteati; Thermoproteota
Description: bacterial SSU rRNA
Rfam family: Archaeal small subunit ribosomal RNA
Source: RNAcentral
UGCGAGUCACGUAGCAAUACGUGGCAUACGGCUCAGUAACACGUAGUCAACACGCCCAGGGGACGUGGAUAACCUCGGGAAACUGAGGAUAAACCACGAUAGGCCAUGAUGUCUGGAAUGACUUAUGGCUCAAAUCUACACGGCCCCUGGAUUGGACUGCGGCCGAUCAGGCUGUUGGUGAGGUAAUGGCCCACCAAACCUAAAACCGGUACGGGCUCUGAGAGGAGAAGCCCGGAGAUGGGCACUGAGACAAGGGCCCAGGCCCUAUGGGGCGCAGCAGGCGCGAAAACUCUGCAAUAAGCGAAAGCUUGACAGGGUUAUUCUGAGUGAUUUCCGCUAAGGAAAUCUUUUGGCACCUCUAAAAAUGGUGCAGAAUAAGGGGUGGGCAAGCCUGGUGUCAGCCGCCGCGGUAAUACCAGCACCCCGAGUGGUCGGGACGAUUAUUGGGCCUAAAGCAUCCGUAGCCGGUUCUACAAGUCUUCCGUUAAAUCCAUCUGCUUAACAGAUGGGCUGCGGAGGAUACUAUGGAGCUAGGAGGCGGGAGAGGCAAGCGGUACUUAGUGGGUAGGGGUAAAAUCCGUUGAUCCACUGAAGACCACCAGUGGCGAAGGCGGCUUGCCAGAACGCGCUCGACGGUGAGGGAUGAAAGCUGGGGGAGCAAACCGGAUUAGAUACCCGGGUAGUCCCAGCUGUAAACGAUGCAGACUCGGUGAUGAAUAGGCUUCGUGCCUUUUCAGUGCCGCAGGAAGCCGUUAAGUCUGCCGCCUGGGGAGUACGGUCGCAAGACUGAAACUUAA